This 262-nucleotide ribosomal RNA is filed under the name uncultured bacterium. RNAcentral describes it as "partial 16S ribosomal RNA". It matches the Rfam family "Bacterial small subunit ribosomal RNA", at positions 57 to 305 of the family's 1533-position model. The record is from RNAcentral.
GCAAGUCGUGCGAGAAAAUCUCUUCGGAGAUGAGUAGAGCGGCGAACGGGUGAGUAACACGUAAAUAACCUGCCUCAAAAUUUGGGACAACCAUUCUAACGAGUGGCUAAUACCGGAUGUGGCAUAAUUACUUCAUGGUAAUAAUGUUAAAGGCGGUACCUUCGGGUGCUGUUGUUUUGAGAUGGAUUUGCGUACUAUUAGUUAGUUGGUGAGGUAAUGGCUCACCAAGACGAUGAUAGUUAGCCGACCUGAGAGGGUGAUC